RNAcentral lists this ribosomal RNA (549 nucleotides) under uncultured bacterium. RNAcentral describes it as "bacterial SSU rRNA". It matches the Rfam family "Bacterial small subunit ribosomal RNA", at positions 356 to 896 of the family's 1533-position model. The record is from RNAcentral.
AGGGAAUCUUCGGCAAUGGACGGAAGUCUGACCGAGCAACGCCGCGUGAGUGAAGAAGGUUUUCGGAUCGUAAAGCUCUGUUGUAAGAGAAGAACGAGUGUGAGAGUGGAAAGUUCACACUGUGACGGUAUCUUACCAGAAAGGGACGGCUAACUACGUGCCAGCAGCCGCGGUAAUACAUAGGUCCCGAGCGUUGUCCGGAUUUAUUGGGCGUAAAGCGAGCGCAGGCGGUUAGAUAAGUCUGAAGUUAAAGGCUGUGGCUUAACCAUAGUACGCUUUGGAAACUGUUUAACUUGAGUGCAAGAGGGGAGAGUGGAAUUCCAUGUGUAGCGGUGAAAUGCGUAGAUAUAUGGAGGAACACCGGUGGCGAAAGCGGCUCUCUGGCUUGUAACUGACGCUGAGGCUCGAAAGCGUGGGGAGCAAACAGGAUUAGAUACCCUGGUAGUCCACGCCGUAAACGAUGAGUGCUAGGUGUUAGACCCUUUCCGGGGUUUAGUGCCGUAGCUAACGCAUUAAGCACUCCGCCUGGGGAGUACGACCGCAAGGUUG